Molecule: long non-coding RNA, 1165 nt
Filed under: Homo sapiens (human)
Lineage: Eukaryota; Metazoa; Chordata; Mammalia; Primates; Hominidae
Description: HSALNT0346439
Source: RNAcentral
GCAUGCAGGGGCCAUUGUGACAUAUAGCCAUGCCAAUUGCCUAGGUGAAGUUUGUCUCCUCUCUUGCCUAAGCCCUUUCUACAGCGGGGAUUUAGAUGUAUCACCGAAACAAGCCUCCAGGUGAUGUGACUCUUCUUCCAGAGUCCUGCCCACAAGGAGGAUUGUGACAUUUCACUGGACCAGCACCCACUCAGACUCUGCCAAAAGGGGAUUAUUACAUACUGCAGAGCCCAGCACCCAGGUUCUCUUUGAAUUCCAGCAUGAUGCAUCGAACCGUACCAUGACAUGGCUAGGACCCAACCUGGUACCAGAAAUGAAGAAAAUGACCCUACAGGACCCACAGCCCUGGACGCUGUGGCUUCCUUGGACAACACAGGCCCCAGACAUUAUGCUGAAGAAGCAGAAGGCUUAGCAAAUCCUGCUCCAAGCCGAAAUACCUGUCACUCCAAAUAAUUUGUUCCAUUUUUAUUCUCUCACUCUGCCUACAACUGGUACCUGCUACACUCUAUUGGGCUCAUCUCUUAAAUCCAUCUUUCUUCUGCCCUGUUACUUAGACAAACACCCACUUCCCAGCUUCUAACAACGUGACGGCUUGGCUAAAAGGGAUUAAUAUACCUUCAGUGGGGUUCCGUAGCAAUGGCACACAUCAGACUAAGGUACCAGGUCACUCCUUGAUUGGAAAAUAAUGUUGCUAAUAAUACUCAUGUUUGUCUUAUGUUAUUUACUAAUUCUAGGAUGAAAAGCCAGAAUACAAGCAGUGACCACCACACCUGACAGACCUCUUGCUGCACAUAUCUGUACUCUCCAAUUAACAAAACCUGAUGCUAAAAACAGAAAAGAGGGGAGAUGUAGGAGAUUGGUCAGGGUGGUGGGAAAAAUUGUAGAAAGAUGAAACCUUGGAAGGCUGGAAGGUUUUACAAAAGCUUCAGAAUAGGAUUUGGCUGAAGGCAGCCAGAUUCUCUUAUCCUGUGCCUUAAAGCUUAAGUUAGAUAACAAGGGGAUAUAAAGAAACUGAUCUAGGUAAGUUAGUUUACUUAGGCCUUGGAACCUGGCCUUUAAUCAUCUGCAGGACUGCUCUCCAGGGAGGGCGACUAUGUUAAUUAUCCACAAGUGUGUUAACUCAAAGCCUUUGUUAUUAAAUUUAUACUGAAUAAAUGCCUGCAGU